RNAcentral lists this transfer RNA (73 nucleotides) under Scleropages formosus (Asian bonytongue). It matches the Rfam family "tRNA". From Rfam's summary of the family: Transfer RNA (tRNA) molecules are approximately 80 nucleotides in length. Their secondary structure includes four short double-helical elements and three loops (D, anti-codon, and T loops). Further hydrogen bonds mediate the characteristic L-shaped molecular structure. tRNAs have two regions of fundamental functional importance: the anti-codon, which is responsible for specific mRNA codon recognition, and the 3' end, to which the tRNAs corresponding amino acid is attached (by aminoacyl-tRNA synthetases). tRNAs cope with the degeneracy of the genetic code in two manners: having more than one tRNA (with a specific anti-codon) for a particular amino acid; and 'wobble' base-pairing, i.e. permitting non-standard base-pairing at the 3rd anti-codon position. The record is from Rfam by way of RNAcentral. Lineage: Eukaryota; Metazoa; Chordata; Actinopteri; Osteoglossiformes; Osteoglossidae.
UUCCAGUGAGUUCUGUUGGUAGAGCAUGUGACUCUUACUCUCAGGGUUGUGGGUUUGAACCCCAUAUUGGGUG